Molecule: unclassified non-coding RNA, 283 nt
Filed under: uncultured fungus
Lineage: Eukaryota; Fungi
Description: partial contains 5.8S ribosomal RNA, internal transcribed spacer 2, and large subunit ribosomal RNA
Source: RNAcentral
AACGCACCUUGCGCUCUCGGGCUAUUCCUGAGAGCAUGCUUGUUUGAGUGUCGCGUACCUCUCAACCCCACCCCUUUUGAGGGGCGGCCAGGGUUGGAUCAUGACGCCCUGCCUCGCUUUCGAGGCUGCGUUGAAAUGCAGCAAGCUGUAUCCGUACUCGCGCGGCUUGACCCGUUGUCAUAAGCUAACACUUUCAAUGGGGACGCCGAGUGGAACGAGCUUACCUCAAAUUGCUACAUCACACUUUGACCUCAGAUCAAGUAGGACUACCCGCUGAACUUAA